Molecule: non-coding RNA, 390 nt
Organism: Phyllostomus discolor (pale spear-nosed bat)
Lineage: Eukaryota; Metazoa; Chordata; Mammalia; Chiroptera; Phyllostomidae
Source: the annotation of a RefSeq genome assembly
CUCAAGACAGGGCACAGACCUCUCAUGAUGGACUUUGGGGUUAGCUGGGUUUUCCUUGUUGCAAUUUUGAGAGGAGUCCAGUGUGAUGUGCAGCUGGUGGAGUCUGGAGGAGGCUUGGCGCAGCCUGGAGGGUCUCUGAGACUCUCCUGCAUGGCUUCUGGAUUCACCUUCAGUAGCUACUGGAUGCACUGGGUCCGCCACACUCCAGCAAAGGGGCUGGAGUGGGUAUCAGUUAUCAAUGAUAAUGGUGGUACCACAUACUAUGCUGACUCUGUGAAGGGUCGAUUCACCAUCUCCAGAGACAAUGGAAAAAACACGCUAUACCUGCAAAUGAACAGCCUGAAAACUGAGGACACAGCUGUUUAUUACUGUGCGAGAGAUACACAGUGA